RNAcentral lists this ribosomal RNA (330 nucleotides) under Triticum aestivum (bread wheat). Its description in RNAcentral is "partial small subunit ribosomal RNA". Lineage: Eukaryota; Viridiplantae; Streptophyta; Magnoliopsida; Poales; Poaceae. The record is from RNAcentral.
AUGAGUUUUGAAUGGGAGGAUAUCUUUCCUUUGGUUACGGUUCGCAAACUGGUGAGAGAUGUUUCGGACCACAAUCCACUGCUUGUGUCCUCGGGAGAGGAGAGGCAAAAGAGCCGUAAUCAACACGAAUUCCGAUUUGAGCUUAACUGGCUGUGUGACGAAAACUUUUACCUUAUUGCUAAGGAAAUAUGGGAGCAACCUGUCAGAUCAGAUGAUCCUAUUGACGUUCUUAAUAUCAAACUGAAGCGCAUUAAAAAAUACUUCAAAGGUGGGGCUCAAACAUUUUUGGUCAUGCCAGGAAGAGAAAGAAAGAAAUUAAAAGGGAGUUAG